AACGAACGCUGGCGGCAGGCUUAACACAUGCAAGUCGAACGCAUCCUUCGGGGUGAGUGGCAGACGGGUGAGUAACGCGUGGGAACGUGCCCUUCAGUUCGGGAUAACCCAGGGAAACUUGGGCUAAUACCGGAUACGUGCGAGAGCAGAAAGAUUUAUCGCUGAAGGAUCGGCCCGCGUCUGAUUAGCUAGUUGGUGGGGUAAUGGCCCACCAAGGCGACGAUCAGUAGCUGGUCUGAGAGGAUGAUCAGCCACAUUUGGGCUGAGACACGGCCCAAACUCCUACGGGAGGCAGCAGUGGGGUAUAUUGGACAAUGGUCGCAAGCCUGAUCCAGCCAUGCCGCGUGAGUGAUGAAGGCCUUAGGGUUGUAAAGCUCUUUCGUCCGGGACGAUAAUGACGGUACCGGAAGAAGAAGCCCCGGCUAACUUCGUGCCAGCCGCCGCGGUAA
RNAcentral lists this ribosomal RNA (449 nucleotides) under uncultured bacterium. RNAcentral's name for it is "partial 16S ribosomal RNA". It matches the Rfam family "Bacterial small subunit ribosomal RNA", at positions 29 to 523 of the family's 1533-position model. The record is from RNAcentral.